RNAcentral lists this ribosomal RNA (305 nucleotides) under uncultured bacterium. Its description in RNAcentral is "bacterial SSU rRNA". It matches the Rfam family "Bacterial small subunit ribosomal RNA", at positions 337 to 658 of the family's 1533-position model. The record is from RNAcentral.
GCCUACGGGGGGCAGCAGUGGGGAAUAUUGCACAAUGGGGGAAACCCUGAUGCAGCGACGCCGCGUGGGCGAGGAAGUACCUCGGUAUGUAAAGCCCUAUCAGCAGGGAAGAAACAGGACAGUACCUGACUAAGAAGCCCCGGCUAACUACGUGCCAGCAGCCGCGGUAAUACGUAGGGGGCAAGCGUUAUCCGGAUUUACUGGGUGUAAAGGGAGCGUAGACGGCCAUGCAAGUCUGAUGUGAAAACCCGGGGCUCAACCCCGGGACUGCAUUGGAAACUGUGCGGCUGGAGUGUCGGAGAGGC